ACGUUGGUGGCUCAGUGGCAGAAUUCUUACCUUCUGUGUGGGAGCCCUGGGUUCAAUUCCUGGCCAAUGCA
Molecule: transfer RNA, 71 nt
Filed under: Loxodonta africana (African savanna elephant)
Lineage: Eukaryota; Metazoa; Chordata; Mammalia; Proboscidea; Elephantidae
Rfam family: tRNA
About the family: Transfer RNA (tRNA) molecules are approximately 80 nucleotides in length.
Source: Rfam by way of RNAcentral